UACGUAGGGUGCAAGCGUUAAUCGGAAUUACUGGGCGUAAAGCGUGCGCAGGCGGUUUUGUAAGUCUGUCGUGAAAGCCCCGGGCUCAACCUGGGAAUUGCGAUGGAGACUGCAAGGCUUGAAUCUGGCAGAGGGGGGUAGAAUUCCACGUGUAGCAGUGAAAUGCGUAGAGAUGUGGAGGAACACCGAUGGCGAAGGCAGCCCCCUGGGUCAAGAUUGACGCUUAUGCACGAAAGCGUGGGGAGCAAACAGG
RNAcentral lists this ribosomal RNA (253 nucleotides) under uncultured bacterium. RNAcentral's name for it is "partial 16S ribosomal RNA". It matches the Rfam family "Bacterial small subunit ribosomal RNA", at positions 524 to 776 of the family's 1533-position model. The record is from RNAcentral.